RNAcentral lists this ribosomal RNA (447 nucleotides) under uncultured Eubacteriales bacterium. RNAcentral's name for it is "bacterial SSU rRNA". It matches the Rfam family "Bacterial small subunit ribosomal RNA", at positions 917 to 1370 of the family's 1533-position model. The record is from RNAcentral. Lineage: Bacteria; Bacillati; Bacillota; Clostridia; Eubacteriales.
GGGCCCGCACAAGCAGUGGAGUAUGUGGUUUAAUUCGACGCAACGCGAAGAACCUUACCAGGUCUUGACAUCCCGUGCAUAGCAUAGAGAUAUGUGAAGUCCUUCGGGACACGGAGACAGGUGGUGCAUGGUUGUCGUCAGCUCGUGUCGUGAGAUGUUGGGUUAAGUCCCGCAACGAGCGCAACCCUUAUCGUCAGUUACUACGCAAGAGGACUCUGGCGAGACUGCCGUUGACAAAACGGAGGAAGGUGGGGAUGAUGUCAAAUCAGCAUGCCCUUUAUGACCUGGGCUACACACGUACUACAAUGGCCGUCAACAGAGAGAUGCGAAGCCGCGAGGUGGAGCGAAACUCAGAAAAACGGUCUCAGUUCGGAUUGGAGGCUGCAACCCGCCUCCAUGAAGCCGGAAUUGCUAGUAAUCGCGGAUCAGCAUGCCGCGGUGAAUACG